UAGGAAGAAGACAUCGAGCGUGCUGCCACGAUGUGGCUAUCGCGUGUGCAAGUGUGUACGUGCGUGUAACGUAGUGGUCUAUCAAUUUCGCGGGCCCGGACGUUUACGAGUAGGUCGUAAAAGCGGCGUAAUAGGCGCACACGGUCGUAUAUGCCGUCGCCGGGUGGCCAGGAAAUUCGAUCGAGCGCGAAGGGUUUUACGUAAGUCACGAGGUCCUUCAAUCGUCCUCUGCGUGUCGCAGCGUUCUUUGCAGAACGUUACAGUACGGUAGACAUAACCUCGAAACACAUCCUUCGAAACUGACAUUCGCUCUAAUAGCGAGAUGUCGCGAAUGUACGAAACAUCGAGAAGUAAGUUGUUCGUCUUACUUUACGUUCUCGUCUACCAGUUAUUGCACGCUGGAUACGGCCGGAUUCGCAGCAGGGAGGUUAGAAAUGAUGGUCAUUCAAUUUCUACGAAUCAAGAUCUCAGUUUUACUGUUGCACAAUGUUCAUUGGGAUUAUGCUACGUGAUUUGACUCGUGAUUAUGUUUAAUAGGUUAUGAGGGAUUUGAGUACAAGAAUUUUGAAAUAAGAAUUUGAUCUGGCGUAAUUGAAACAAACAAUAUCUGUGCAGCCGCUUAGGCAAAUAAAGAAAAGAACAGAGGCAUAAUUUCCCCACAUUUCCUCAGCUCUGCUGCUUUAUAUUCAUUAUCCGUGCUCUCCACCAACGCAACGAUAUCGAAAUCCUCGUUACAGCCUCUGCAGCGUCAAAUUGAAACGCUCGACGAAAGUAAAAGUGAAAUAAGAGCAAAAGUAAAUUGAAAAAGCUCCCUCCACUUUCCAUGGGGUGUAAAUUCAAUACGCGGAUAUAUUUAUGAGCGAAACUCAACGAUCUUGAAGUAAAACAUAAAAAUAAUGUUUUGGUCAUAUUGAUACGACAAAUUGAGACACAAACGUAACCUAAUCUAAAUACGUAUUUCCUUUUCCUAUUUAUCUUUGUUAUGUAAUCAAAUACAUUAUUUAUGACUUAUUAUUGUGUAACUAUAUAUUCCUUCGACUAUGUCUUACUCUUUAACUUUGUAAGAUGAACUUUUCACUCGUAUAACAAACUAAAUUAUUUGUAUAUCGCUAUUGAUCUUUCCUUCUGUAUAUCGUAACUGAUUGUUUCGUGUAUAUCAUUAUUUUUCCAUUUUUAUCGUGUCAUCGCGUUCGUGUACACGAUGAUUACCUUGACACGAUAACAGCAAGCCAGAAAACAAUGAGUUCUCAGAAAUAGUAUUUGAAAGAACGUAGCGGGGUGGCCAGCUCUAUUACCGGUACUUUAUUAGCCUAGCUGGAAACCACGUGGGCUGAAACAGCGCUAGAUUUUUCUAACGUUCGAUGCUAAACGACCGUGCCAGAAGUCGAAUGUUAUGGUGAAAUGACAUUUUCGCGCAAAACUUUACGUAUUGUUGGUUACAACCAAGACUUCCGGUAUAACAAUGUUAUUGUAAUUCAUACUUCAAUCAAUAUGAAAAAAACUUCCUAUAAAAUCGAAUACAUAUGAUACUGCAUACGAUACUGUGACACUAUCGUAAAAUGAUAAUACGUAUCAUAAAGACUUCCAUUCUUCAUACUUUGCUAUGAUAAAUAUUACACUAACCUAGAAACGCAAAUCGAAAGCUCGUACUCGAUAAUUCCUUAAGUUCUGUUACUCCAUAUUUAUUUUAAGAAGGAGGAAGGAUAAAAAGCGCAAAAAGAGAAAUUCGACGCGUCUCUCAAAUUGUCCUGCGGUUUUCAGGCUAUUUUUAACGUGACUGUCGCUUAAAAUAACUCCUCUCCCUUUACAAAUAUUCCCACCUUUUUCCUUCCGAGAUUAGAGACACAAUGAGAUAUUUGUAAACUCGAGUAUUACGAAGGAGAUUGUUGGAUAAACUUUAAAUAAACAAAGAAUGAUACAGAUUAAUUUCUACAAUUUUAUUUAUUAUAUACAUCCUGCUGAUAAGUCAAAUUUAUUCACCUCGUAAAUUGUUUGACAACGUUAUUAUUAAGUUGCAAAAAUAUUACUUGUUAUCUGUAUAAUUCAAGAAGAAGACAUUAAGUUAUCGUUUAUUACAAGAUUCUAGAAUACCAAAUCAUUUUGAGAACCAAUUCGUUGUCUUAAUAAAUUAAUGUAAUUAUGAAAAAUAAAACGCAUUAUAUUUCUACACCAAAAUAUUCGAAGAAAGCAAUUUAUUUCAAGCAAUCGGCCUCAACGGAUCUUUGGCAACGAUCUCCAAAACGAUUCAGGAAAUGUCAGUUGGAAGCAACGAGAUUAAAGCGCGAUUUCACGAAGACUCGAGUUUAUCGAGGGUGAAGCGUUAGAAUCGCGCCGUUUUCGAGGCAUCCGGCCACCUGCGGAGCCUCAUCGCGAGCGUGGGCUGCCUAGUGCAAGAGGAAGGGGCGUUGAGAGCGAAACUCUCGAGAACGAGCACACGUCGACGCAUAUGGUGCCACAGUAACGACGAUGAGUACUACAUAUGCACACAGGACUUUUCUCGGGGAAACUAGUACAACAAAAAACUGUGAAGAUGAUUAAACAAAAGAAAUGUUGGUCUGAUUUGGUUAUUUCUAACAGACUCAAAAGAAUCAGGGAGACAAGCACGCACACUGACAGGAAGUGUCAUAUGUGCAAACAAGACCAUAUAGCAGUGAUCCUCAACUUGUUUCAUUUCGUGACACACAUAAACCAAUCACGGUAGAGAAACAAAGAUUUCUUGGAUCGGUGACUGAAAUUUGGAGAUUUCUCGGAUCAUUGAAUCAGGAAUUUCUAUUAUUACAAAUUUCUCCAAUCUUCGAUUCCGAGAGACAAGGACUCCCUUAAUUUACCAUACGAAGUUCAAGGUUUCCCAAAAUUCUAACAGAGAGUGUUAGAGAUUUUUUGAAGAUCUGUCAAACUUCUUCCAACUUCUCAAAUGAAGGAUUAGAAAUUUCUUGAAUGGACGAUUGGAAAUUACAGAUCUCUCGGACUUCGUGCGAAGGGUCAGAGACUUCUCGAAUGGUCGAUCGAAAAUUACAGAUCUCUUAAACUUGGAAACGAGGAUUACAGGUGUCUUGUAUCCUGAAUGGAAAAUACAAUUCUUUCGAAUUUCUGAUCGAGUAAUUAGAUAUCUUGGAAAUUUGUAAUCGGGAUUUGGCGUAUGGUUCAGCGCGCGGCAUGCCGUUUAGCACUUCCGGUCGCGGUAUUUGGCGGGACGCGGCCCUAUAUAUGGCUCGCGUCCGUCACGCCGAGACGGAUACGACGCACGCAAUUUUCUAGGUCGACACGACGCAGCAGGGAAGGUCAGGAUUGGUUCAAGUCCAAGCGAGUGGUCGUCGCGCGGCCGUCGACGGCUACGCGUUCGCCUCGUCGCUAGUCGAUCUAUAAUUAGCGAAUUUCCGCGGACCGUUCACUGGAAAGAGAUCGAACAACGCUUCUCUUCUUCGUUCAUCGUCUCUUCCGAUCGACAUAUCGCUUCGAGUACCCUAAUAACACGAGGAGAAGAUGAAUCUUUAACACUCUGCUUUUUAACGCAGGCUUCAAUCGUCAUUCAUAAACGAUCUGUAACUAUUAGCGUGGAUUAUGGAUAGUGCAAUGCUUCUUAAACGUUCUUCAUUCGCGAGCCCAUCUUGCCUGUAAAAAUUGUACGCUACUUCAGUUGUAUAUGUAAAAAGCUACGUAUAAUAAAUGAAACAUCAAACGAUGA
Molecule: long non-coding RNA, 3685 nt
Organism: Bombus terrestris (buff-tailed bumblebee)
Lineage: Eukaryota; Metazoa; Arthropoda; Insecta; Hymenoptera; Apidae
Exons: 2
Source: RefSeq, a predicted model, not a curated record